Molecule: long non-coding RNA, 213 nt
Organism: Dermacentor andersoni
Lineage: Eukaryota; Metazoa; Arthropoda; Arachnida; Ixodida; Ixodidae
Source: RefSeq, a predicted model, not a curated record
AGGCCAGGGCCACUGACGUCCCUGAUGUAGCCUGGUGCACAUUCCUUAGUUCAAGAUCAAAAUAUAAAUUAAAAGAAAUGUCUCCAAAGAGAAAGUGAAAAAUGAAAGGAGGAAACAGGACCUCCAAAAGGAGAGACCAUUGUAUCCAGGAGGACAGAUGCACUGUUCCACCUCAAUGGCCACAGCAUGGCCACUGGAUCGCAGAGGAACGGC